This 433-nucleotide ribosomal RNA is filed under the name uncultured bacterium. RNAcentral's name for it is "partial 16S ribosomal RNA". It matches the Rfam family "Bacterial small subunit ribosomal RNA", at positions 29 to 507 of the family's 1533-position model. The record is from RNAcentral.
AGCGAACGCUGGCGGCAGGCCUAACACAUGCAAGUCGAACGGAACCUUCGGGAUUAGUGGCGGACGGGUGAGUAACACGUGGGAACGUGCCCUUUGGCUCGGAACAACUCAGGGAAACUUGAGCUAAUACCGGAUGUGCCCUUCGGGGGAAAGAUUUAUCGCCAUUGGAUCGGCCCGCGCCUGAUUAGCUAGUUGGUGAGGUAACGGCACGCCAAGGCGCCGAUCAGUAGCUGGUCUGGGAGGAUGAUCAGCCACAACGGGACUGAGACACGGACCAGACUCCUACGGGAGGCAACGGUGGGGAAUCUUGCGCAAUGGGCGAGAGCCUAACGCAGCCAUGCCGCGUGAAUGAUGAAGGUCUUAGGAUUGUAAAAUUCUUUCAGCGGGGACGAUAAUGACGGUACCCUAAGAAGAAGCUCCGGCUAACUUCGUG